Epinephelus moara (kelp grouper) is the source of this 498-nucleotide long non-coding RNA. RefSeq lists it as uncharacterized. The record is from RefSeq and is a predicted model, not a curated record. NCBI's taxonomy places the organism in Eukaryota, Metazoa, Chordata, Actinopteri, Perciformes, Serranidae. The transcript is spliced from 2 exons.
AUCGCAGUGGUCCCAGAACAGAUCCCUGUGGAACCCCACAUGUGACAUCCUUCAGAUUAGAGUUGAUGUUAUAAAUAUGAACAUAUUGACUUCUAUUUUUCAGGUAACUACUUACCCAUGUUAAAGCAACCCCUCUAAUUCCAUAUUUAAAUAACUUUUUUAAUAAUAAGUUGUGAUCAACAGUGUCAAAAGCUUUUUCCGGUCAAGAAAUACACCUACUGCAUAUCCUUUAUUUUCAAUUGCUGUUGUUAUUGUUAUUGUUUUGUCAUUUUCUCCCUCAGUUUGUCUCUCCCUUCCUGUGUGCCAAUUAUGUUUACAUAGAGUUUGAAUCUGAUGUUUGAAAACCACCGGGCAAGUGGGGAAAGAAAAAAAAUCUUCAUGAGUCCUUGAAAAGUCAUGAAAAAGUUUGGAAAUAUUGUCCAUGAAAAUGUGAGCGGAACCUGUAAUUAAAAGUAUGACUGAUUUUGCAGUGAGCACAGUAAUAAACUGAUCCCAGAA